Molecule: ribosomal RNA, 683 nt
Filed under: Flavobacterium sp. S13.05.LMB.W.Ulcer.D
Lineage: Bacteria; Pseudomonadati; Bacteroidota; Flavobacteriia; Flavobacteriales; Flavobacteriaceae
Description: bacterial SSU rRNA
Rfam family: Bacterial small subunit ribosomal RNA
Source: RNAcentral
GGUAUAUGUCUUCGGAUAUAGAGACCGGCGCACGGGUGCGUAACGCGUAUGCAAUCUGCCUUUUACAGAGGGAUAGCCCAGAGAAAUUUGGAUUAAUACCUCAUAGCAUAGCAGCUUCGCAUGAAGCAGCUAUUAAAGUCACAACGGUAAAAGAUGAGCAUGCGUCCCAUUAGCUAGUUGGUAAGGUAACGGCUUACCAAGGCUACGAUGGGUAGGGGUCCUGAGAGGGAGAUCCCCCACACUGGUACUGAGACACGGACCAGACUCCUACGGGAGGCAGCAGUGAGGAAUAUUGGACAAUGGGCGCAAGCCUGAUCCAGCCAUGCCGCGUGCAGGAUGACGGUCCUAUGGAUUGUAAACUGCUUUUGUACGAGAAGAAACACUCCUACGUGUAGGAGCUUGACGGUAUCGUAAGAAUAAGGAUCGGCUAACUCCGUGCCAGCAGCCGCGGUAAUACGGAGGAUCCAAGCGUUAUCCGGAAUCAUUGGGUUUAAAGGGUCCGUAGGCGGUUUAGUAAGUCAGUGGUGAAAGCCCAUCGCUCAACGGUGGAACGGCCAUUGAUACUGCUAAACUUGAAUUAUUAGGAAGUAACUAGAAUAUGUAGUGUAGCGGUGAAAUGCUUAGAGAUUACAUGGAAUACCAAUUGCGAAGGCAGGUUACUACUAAUGGAUUGACGCUGAUGG